ACCGUUGACAAGGAAAUUUGGUUAUUUUUAGGCAUAUAAUUAUAUUUUAAUCAGUUUGACCAUAAGGUAAAAUUUUUGAAAAGCAUUUAUAAUUUUUUAUUAAGGAGCAUAUUAAUGCUCCAAGAAAACUCUAUUUGUUUUUGCAUUGUUUCGAAUUUUCUUUUUCAUUUCUUAACAUUUAUAUCUACUGAAAUAUAUAAAUUGGUAACAUAAUUUCAAAAUUAAAAACCCUUUCCCAUUAUUUCUUACAUUUAUCAAUCAUUCUCUUUAGGUAACCAGAUUUAUAACAUUUGCUUUAUCAUUUCUUUGCUUAUUUUUGCCAAGGUAUUUACUAUAAAUGGCAACACACUAUUUACACUACUUUACACUUUCCUCUUUGUUACUUAACAAUAUAUAUCCUUGCUAUCAUUCCUUAGCAGUUGAUAGAGACAUUUUUCCUUUUUUUAAAUCUCUGCAUUGUAAAAAAUUGUGUGGCUAUACCUUAGUUUAUUUAGCUAUUUUUAUGUGUGAGCAUUAAGAUUACUUCCAAUAGUGUGACCUUAUAGUUGAUGCUACAAUUAAUAACUGUGAUUAUUUUCAUAUUGUUUUAGGUGUGUAAUUUCAAGGAAUUUCUUAGUAGUGGGCUUACUGCAUCAGUUUCUCUGCUUAGUGCCAUAUUUCCAGCCAUAGAAAUUCUACCAUUCCUCCUUCCCU
RNAcentral lists this long non-coding RNA (693 nucleotides) under Homo sapiens (human). RNAcentral describes it as "non-protein coding lnc-MRPL39-30:1". The record is from RNAcentral. Lineage: Eukaryota; Metazoa; Chordata; Mammalia; Primates; Hominidae.